This is a non-coding RNA of Podarcis lilfordi (Lilford's wall lizard), 4924 nucleotides long. The record is from the annotation of a GenBank genome assembly. Lineage: Eukaryota; Metazoa; Chordata; Lepidosauria; Squamata; Lacertidae.
GUUUUCAACAAGGCAGCAGAAGCCCCAUGCACUACUGAGCCACUUUUUAAAGCUUAAAAAAUAAUAAUUCAAUUUAAGACAUACUUUUAAAAGAUAGCAAAGAGUAGAUAGAGAGGCAGCCCUUAGAUUACUUUUUAUUUUAUUUUUUAAAGUGUGUAUAUGAAUGGAAGUUGUUUUGUACGAAUUUGUUAAUGGUCUAAUGUUUGUGUUUAAAUGUGUUGUAAACCAUUUGGAGACAUUUGGCUAACAAACAACUAGCAAAUCUAAUAAAUGAUCCUAAUAAUAGUAUGAAUAGUCCGUGUGGGUUUUUUAUGGAUUUGUGGGGAUUUUUCCUCUCACAAAAAGUGAGAGAAAUGCUCCAGGGCGAGCUCUAGUCUAAUCCCAAUCAAUUCCAAGUCAGCCAGAAUUGGUCGUGGGCCCAUGCCUACACUUGGAUCAAUCAGGAGGAUGCAGAGCCAAUUUGGCAUUUGGAUCAUAUGAUCUUUGUUUAGCUGCAGCAGUGCACAUGGAAGUUUUAUCUGGCCACAUCAGGAUCAGAAUAUGAAAUUGGGUAUUCCUGACCUAGCAGUAAGUUUCUUGAGAAACUUUUAGCCUCCAUGACAAAUUUUGGAAGAAGCCAUUGAUAGUCUGGUGACAAAUCUGAUAAUGUCUUAUUCUGAUUGCAGAACUACCAUUUUUAUUUGCUAAAAUAUUCAUAAAUCAGGGGAAUUUUGUUUUGGAGGGGUUUUUUUUUGCAACAUGAAUAGUGGGUAAUGGUGUAAUACUUAAUGAGCAGAGUAAUUAAUGCACCUGGCUGGUGGAUGACAAAUGCAGAUAAAUGUGGACUAAUGAGUUUUGGAACAAAAAAUAAAGAGACAGUUCUACAGUUAAAUGGAAAAUGAACAGCGAUGUAUUGACCUAAAAAGAGAUCAGGGAGCAAUUAUAGACAAAUCCUUAAAUCCUCUAGCCCAUUAGGUGGCUAAACUGGAAAAAAAUAAUAAUAAAUGAGAGACUGCAGUGAAUACUAAAGACAUCCAGUAUAACUCAAGGGAGAUGGUAUUAUAUAUUUUGCUUAAUGAGACCUUAUCCACAUUGCUGGAUACAGCACUGGCAAUAAAUAGAGAUAAGCCCCAACCAACUGCAGUGACUCAUUUAAGACAAAAAAAAAUGUACAGCUUAAGCACCAUUGGGGGGAUUUAAACAAGUGGCUUGACUUUCAGAAAUUGUUACUAUCUCUCAUUGAACCAAUUGAAUGAACUUUCAAGUAACUGAUCUCAUAAGAACAUCAGGAGAACCCUGCCACAUCCAACAGCAGCCACCCAGAACCACAGAUUCAUCAUGUACUAAACCACAGCUUUCCUUAAGUCUUCCAUGAAGGAAGCUGUUGUAGGCAGUAAGCCUCUAAAUAUCAGUUGCUGGGGAGGAGCCCUGUUGCUUGAGGGCUUCCCAUAGGCAUCUGGUUGGCCACUGUGAGAACAGAACACCAGACUAAUGACCCUUUAAUCUGAUCCAACAGGGCUCUUCUUGUGUUCUUAAGACGCCCAUGCCAAAACCAUUUGAAUCAUCCUUCUGUCUCUCCUUAUCAUUUAGGUUUGCAGAAUUCAAGUGGAUUUAAGCCCUCUGUCUUUUUUUUUUAAAAAAAGGGGGGUUGCAGUUAGUAAAGUGAUGGGGAAUUGUGAAUUGGCAAGGCAGCAUAUUGGCAAUGACUCAGCUUUCCAAAAGGGUAUGGAAGAAUAUGAUGCUAAUGACCAAUACCUAGAUGAAGGUCUACCAGGAUAAGCAUGCUGUUUUUGUCGGGAGUUCAGCUUACACUUGAGUAGGACUCUGGCAGAGACACAUGCCCGACUGGCAUGUUUGCUCCCUCCUGGUCAAUCAUUCAGGAGCUUCAUAAGCUUUCUUCUGCCUGAACAUCACAGUGACCGAUGCCAACCGACACCGGCACACUUAGGAAUCCGCAGAGUUUGUGCCACAUACGCAUGACAGACCUCAGCAAUUCAGCAUGUUGGCUAAUCUACUAAACACACACGGAGCACUGCAACAUGGCUCCCUCUCUCUCUAGCAUCAGACAGCAAAGAGAAAAAGAACAAAGGACAAUUGUCCCACUUCACGGAACACAGUAACACAAACAUCCUGUCUCUGUUACUUCCCACUCUGUGGAGUCAAAACAUAUACCGUCAUGUGAAAGACAACAAUCCUAUGACUGCAAUCACAGAUCAGGAAUUCUAACAGUUUUAUGGAAGUGAGUCAUGGGCAACUUAAACCCACCAGGAGCAAUGCCUGAGUGCCUUUUAUAUGGGCUGUGUCAGGAAGAUUUUGGGCAUCACAUGGCAGGACAAAGUCUCAAACAAAGAUGUGUUCUCCCAAGCCCACAUGUUUCACUUUUGUUUCAGUGACAUCUAUGCUGGUUUGGUCAUGGACACAGAAUGGGCUCCAUGGGGAACUGGCUUCAGGCGCUAGGCAUGUUGGCAGAUGCACUCUGCAUUAAAAAGCUGUCUUCAUAUGUGACAUGAAGACUGGCAUGAAAACCCACUGUGUGAGAAUGCAUUGCGGAUGACUGCAGUGCCUGGAGACAGGCAGGUCAUGUGUUCACAGCAGUGACCAGAGGAUGAAUGACCAGAGAAAGAGAAGAAAUGCCACGGUGCACCUGUAGAAGCAAAACAGGACGUCUUCAUCUUGCAAUAAAACAUGUAUUGUCCAUAUCGGUCUCUGUAGCUGCAACAGGCGCUGUAAUUCUCCAACAGUUUGACUUUGCUCUCAAAGGCACACUCUUCCAUUGUCUCCUGAGACAGAUGGAUGCCAAUAACAACAACAAUAACAAAUGAUAUGAACACAAAAUUUCAUCUUACAUUAAUUGAGUCACUCUUAAAAUACGAUAGUGCAAUAUGCAGGGAAGUUGAUAAUACAUUUGCUGGUUUUGUAGUUGCUUUUUGCUUUGGAAGGAUUAAUAAUAAAAUGAAACAAACCUUAUUCAUGUAACAAAAUGCCGCGUUGAUUUGGGACUUGCCUCUGAUUUCUGCGUAUUUGUUUAGAAUGCACAUUCAGAUACUGCACAUUGAUAUUCUUUCACAGUUAGAAACCUUGCGCUGCCCCAUAUGCUUAUUUGUCUGCAUCUUAUUUGUCUGGAACUUUUCAUCAAGCAAAUAAUAAACAAUGCACAACAUUUAUUUUAGAUGGAAAAUUGCUGAGGGCCAUUUUAAAGAGGCUCCCUACCCACAAAUCUGUUGACUAAUUUUGUGUGUGUGUUCUAAUGAGGGGUGGGGGAACCAUUAAUCUGGUGAGCUUGUAGGUUUAGAUUUUGAAGUGGAGCUCCAUAUCAUGAUUCUCAGACACACAGUGAACAUCAUUAUGACUUUGUAUUAUACAUUGCAUCCAACUAAUAUCUACUCAGAGUAGGCCCACAGAACUUAAUGCACCCAAAAUGUUGUUGUUGUUUAGUCGUCUUAGUUGUGUUUGACUCUCCGUGACCCCAUGAACCAGAGAAUGCCUUGGAAACUCUCACUUUCUUCUCAAAGCUUCUCCUUUUUUAUGUCCAUGGAGUUUUCUUGGGAAAAUACUGGAGUGGUUUGCCAGUUCCUUUUCCAGGUGGAUCACAUUUAGUCUAAACUCUCAGCUAUGACCUGUCUGUCUUGGAUGGCCCUGCAGGGCAUAGCUCAUAGCUUCUUGGAGUUCUUCAAGCCCCUUCGCCACGACAAGGCAGUGAUCCAUGAAGGGGCACCCAAAAUAACUAAUUCUCAUCUGACACUCACAGAGCAGUAAUUUUAACAAAUUAGUAUCAAAAUCCAUGAGAAUUUUUAUACUGAAAACGAAUGGGAAUCCAAAAUGAAAACAAUUGUCUAGCACACUAUAAAUGACCCACAACUGCCAAGGAAGAGUUUCAUCACCUAAGUCUAUAUGUUCAAAUGUGCAUUUAACAGUGCAAUUUAUGUCUACUUGGAAAAGCUCCAUUACUUCAAAGUAAGCAUGUACAGGAUUGCAGCCUAAAUUUCCCUAAAUCAAUUUUUGUUUUUGUUUUUCUGACAGCAGUUUAAUUUAUUGUUCAGCUCCCUCCAAUUUCGGGUUUUGUCCAACGAAUCUGAGCUUAUCAUUUAAUAAUCUACACUACAGUUUUAGAAGAGGGGGGAGGGGGAAAGGAACCAUGAUAUUUGAACUAAAUUCACUGUACCUUUCACCUUAUGAAAUGAAUUUCUCGGUCCUCAAAUACCCAGGUGCAUUAGUGCAUUAGUAGUUGGACACCUUCCUGGGGAAAAAACCUUCUGCUAAUGUCAUUACGGCUCCUGCAAACUUGCACCCUCCAUUCUACUAUUAUGUAUUUAUAGGGCAGCCCAGAAAAACUGUUUCUAUACUGCUAAUAGAUUGUCAAUUCUGAACAUAAACAAUUCUAAUUAAUGGGUGGGAAGAGGUGGGAUUCUGAGCCUAGGUUUGCUCUUGUGGGGGGGGGGAGAAAUUUCUGGAUCCAGUGUCCCUUCAACCCCAGCCAGCACUGUCAAUGGUCAAGGUUAAUGGGAUUUAUAGUCCAGCAACAUAUGGACAGGCACAGGUUCCCCACCCCUGAUAUGAGGGAUCAGCCUACAGCAGAUCUUGAAGUCCAGAUGGGCAAAGCCCAGCACAAAUACUGCCCUUUUCAUCUAAGCAGGUCAGAUAAAAUAAAAACCAGCUGGUACAACUGAACUUGCCCCUUGCAUAUCUGGCAACUACAGUGGUACCUCUGGUUAAGUACUUAAUUCGUUCCAGAGGUCCGUUCUUAACCUGAAACUGUUCUUAACCUGAAGCACCACUUUAGCUAAUGGGGCCUCCUGCUGCCGCUGCGCGAUUUCUGUUCUCAUCCUGAAGCAAAGUUCUUAACCCGAGGUACUAUUUCUGGGUUAGUGGAGUCUGUAACCUGAAGCAUAUGUAACCUGAAGCAUAUGUAACCCGAGGUAUCACUGUAGUUGAAAAGCAAGCCAGC